RNAcentral lists this ribosomal RNA (447 nucleotides) under uncultured bacterium. RNAcentral describes it as "bacterial SSU rRNA". It matches the Rfam family "Bacterial small subunit ribosomal RNA", at positions 329 to 792 of the family's 1533-position model. The record is from RNAcentral.
CGCCAGACUCCUACGGGAGGCAGCAGUGGGGGAUGUUGCACAAUGGGGGGAACCCUGAUGCAGCGACGCCGCGUGGGUGAAGGAGUGCUUCGGCAUGUAAAGCCCUAUCGGCAGGGAAGAAGCAAGACGGUACCUGACUAAGAAGCCCCGGCUAACUACGUGCCAGCAGCCGCGGGAAUACGUAGGGGGCGAGCGUUAUCCGGAUUCACUGGGUGUAAAGGGAGCGUAGACGGCGACGCAAGUCUGGAGUGAAAGCCCGGGGCCCAACCCCGGGACUGCUCUGGAAACUGCGGCGCUGGAGUACGGGAGGGGCAGGCGGAAUUCCUGGUGUAGCGGUGAAAUGCGUAGAUAUUAGGAGGAACACCAGUGGCGAAGGCGGCCUGCUGGGCUUUUACUGACGCUGAGGCUCGAAAGUGUGGGGAGCAAACAGGAUUAGAUACCCUAGUA